RNAcentral lists this ribosomal RNA (251 nucleotides) under uncultured prokaryote. RNAcentral's name for it is "partial 16S rRNA". It matches the Rfam family "Bacterial small subunit ribosomal RNA", at positions 525 to 775 of the family's 1533-position model. The record is from RNAcentral.
ACGGAGGGUGCGAGCGUUAAUCGGAAUCAUUGGGCGUAAAGCGCACGUAGGCGGUGGCGUAAGUCGGAUGUGAAAGCCCUCGGCUCAACCGGGGAACUGCAUUCGAUACUGCGAUGCUUGAGUGCCGGAGAGGGUGGCGGAAUUCCAGGUGUAGGGGUGAAAUCCGUAGAUAUCAGGAGGAACACCGGUGGCGAAGGCGGCUUUCUGGCCGGAAACUGACGCUGAGGUGCGAGAGCGUGGGGAUCAAACAG